AAUGACCAGAAAUGCAAAAAUAUUUCAAGAAACUAUGGGAUAUUUUCUCGUCGUAGUCAACAUGAGACACAUUCUCUUCAAGGUUCUACCGAAAAGCAAAGAGGGGGUGAUCGGAAAGGAGCAAAAUGUUCAAGAAAACUCUUAAUGACUAACUAAAAAUGAAGGUUUUUCUAAUAAAGGCAAGUGCCAAAAUGUACCGUAUAAAUAUAUUUUGUGAUUAUGCAUGUAAUAAUUAAUAAACGUUUUAAAAUUCAAA
Molecule: long non-coding RNA, 256 nt
Filed under: Pectinophora gossypiella (pink bollworm)
Lineage: Eukaryota; Metazoa; Arthropoda; Insecta; Lepidoptera; Gelechiidae
Description: uncharacterized LOC126374051
Source: RNAcentral